AACGAACGCUGGCGGCAUGCCUAACACAUGCAAGUCGAACGACACCUUCGUGUCUAGUGGCGCACGGGUGCGUAACGCGUGGGAACCUGCCCUUAGGUUCGGAAUAACUCCCCUAAAGGGGUGCUAAUACCGGAUAAUGUCUUCGAACCAAGGAUUUAUCGCCUUUGGAUGGGCCCGCGUUGGAUUAGCUAGUUGGUAGGGUAAAAGCCUACCAAGGCGACGAUCCAUAGCUGGUCUGAGAGGAUGAUCAGCCACACUGGGACUGAGACACGGCCCAGACUCCUACGGGAGGCAGCAGUGGGGAAUAUUGGACAAUGGGCGAAAGCCUGAUCCAGCAAUGCCGCGUGAGUGAUGAAGGCCUUAGGGUUGUAAAGCUCUUUUACCCGGGAUGAUAAUGACAGUACCGGGAGAAUAAGCUCCGGCUAACUCCGUG
Molecule: ribosomal RNA, 433 nt
Filed under: uncultured bacterium
Lineage: Bacteria
Description: partial 16S ribosomal RNA
Rfam family: Bacterial small subunit ribosomal RNA
Source: RNAcentral